Molecule: ribosomal RNA, 489 nt
Filed under: uncultured bacterium
Lineage: Bacteria
Description: SSU rRNA
Rfam family: Bacterial small subunit ribosomal RNA
Source: RNAcentral
AGGACGAACGCUGGCGGCGUGCCUAACACAUGCAAGUCGAACGCGCUCCAUUCGGUAGCAAUACUGAUGAAGAGCGAGUGGCGAACGGGUGAGUAGCACGUGAGCAACCUGCCCCGAAGACUGGGACAACACCGGGAAACCGGUGCUAAUACCGGAUAUCCCUAUCGGACCGCAUGAUCUGAUAAGGAAAUGGAUUCCGCUUCGGGAGGGGCUCGCGGCCUAUCAGCUAGUUGGUGAGGUAACGGCCCACCAAGGCAUCGACGGGUAGCUGGUCUGAGAGGACGAUCAGCCACACUGGGACUGAGACACGGCCCAGACUCCUACGGGAGGCAGCAGUGGGGAAUCUUGCGCAAUGGGCGAAAGCCUGACGCAGCAACGCCGCGUGGAGGACGAAGGCUUUCUGAGUUGUAAACUCCUUUCGGCAGGGACGAUAGUGACGGUACCUGCAGAAGAAGCACCGGCCAACUACGUGCCAGCAGCCGCGGUAAC